CAGCGCAAGGGUGAGUAAUACAUGGCUAACAUACCCCAAACAUGAGAAUAACUAUUAGAAAUGAUAGCUAAUGCUCAAUAGUUUCUUAAGACCUCCUGGUCUAAAGAAUAAAGGUAGGGAUCCUUCGGGACCUUCCGGUUUGGGAGUGGGUCAUGGGCUAUCAGCUAGUUGGUGAGGUAAAGGCUCACCAAGGCUAAGACGGCUAGGCGAUCUGAGAGGAUGAUCGCCCACAUCGGGACUGAGACACUGCCCGGACUCCUACGGGAGGCUGCGGUCGAGAAUCUUCCGCAAUGGGCGCAAGCCUGACGGAGCGACGCCGCGUGAGGGACGAAGGCUUUAGGGUCGUAAACCUCUUUCGCUUGUUAAGAAAAGUGUAUGUUAAUAGCAUGCACCCUGACAAAGGCAAGUAAAGAAGCACCGGCUAAAUCCGUGCCAGCAGCCGCGGUAAUACGGAUGGUGCAAGCGUUACUCGGAAUCACUGGGCGUAAAGCGUUCGUAGGUGGUUUAUUAAGUUGGAUGUGUAAUCCCACGGCUUAACCGUGGAACUGCGUUCAAAACUGAUAAACUAGAGAGCAGUAGGGGACAAGGGAACUUCGGGUGGAGCGGUGAAAUGCGUAGAUAUCUGAAGGAACACCGAUGGCGAAAGCACUUGUCUGGGCUGAUUCUGACACUGAGGAACGAAAGCUAGGGUAACGAACGGGAUUAGAUACCCCGGUAGUCCUAGCCGUAAACGAUGGAUACUAG
RNAcentral lists this ribosomal RNA (744 nucleotides) under uncultured bacterium. RNAcentral's name for it is "bacterial SSU rRNA". It matches the Rfam family "Bacterial small subunit ribosomal RNA", at positions 96 to 819 of the family's 1533-position model. The record is from RNAcentral.